UGGUUGCUUCUUCUUCUGGUGUCAUAUCUAAAAACCUUGCCACAUUCAAGAUUACACAAAAUUUUACUUUGCUGUAUAUACAGUUGUUUUGGUGCUUUGAAAUAUUAAUGAAUUCAUUCUUUCAGCAACCCCAUGAGGUCGGUAAUGCUAUGACAACCACUGCCAUUUCAUUGGUGAGGAAGUUGAAGCAAAUAAAGUCCAAGUAACUUGUCCAGCCCCACAUCAUUAUGUAGUGGUUUCUCAGAGGCUUGAAUCCAGGCCAUCUGGAUCCAGAGUGCCAGCUCUUAACCACCACGUUAUGCUGACUCUUCUAUUUGGGCUGCUGUGAAAAGGGUUGAAUUCUUGAUUUGAUUCUCAGCUUGAAGUCUGCAUAGCCAAAGCAAGACUAAGCAAAAAGAACAAAUCUGGAGGUAUCACAUUACCCAACUUCAAACUACUACAGAGCUGUAGCUACUGAAACAUGAUGGCAAAGGUAUAAAAACAGACAUGUAGACCAAUGGAACAACAUAGAGAAUCCAGAAAUAAAAUUGAAUACUUAUAGCCAUCUGAUCUUUGACAAAACAAACAAAAACAUAAAGCGGAGAAAGGACAGCCUAUUCAACCAUUGGUGCUGGGAUAAUUGACAAGCCACAUGUAGUAGAAUGGUACUGAAUUCACAUCUCUCACCUUAUAAGAUAGAUGAAGGAAUUAAAUCUAAGACCUGAAACAAUAAAAAUUCUAGAAGAUAACAUCAGAAAGUCUUUUCUAGACAUUGGCUUAGACAAGGACUUCAUGACCAAGAACCCAAAAGCAAAUACAACAAAAACAAACAUAGAUCGACGUGACUUAAACUAAAAAUCUUCUGCACAGCAAAAGAAAUAAUCAGCUGAGUAAACAGACAACUCACAGAGUGGGAGAAAAUAUUCACAAACUAUGCAUCUGACAAAUGACUAAUAUUCAGAAUCUACAAAGAGUUUGAACAAAUCGACAAGAGGAAAACAAAUAAUAUGAUCAAAAAGUAGGCUAAGAUCAUGAAUUGACAAUUCUCAAAAGAAAAUAUACAAAUGGCCAACAAACAGAAAAAAAUGCUCAACAUCACUAAUUAUCAUGGAAAUGCAAAUCAAAACCACAAUGCAAUACCACUGUCCUCCUGUAAGAAUGGACAUCAUUAAAAAACCCCAAAAUAAUAUAAUAUUGGCAUGGAUGUGGUAAAAGGAAACACAUAAACUAGCACAACCACUACAGAAAACAGUAUGGAGAUUCCUUAAAGAACUAAAAGUAGAUCUACAUUUUUACCCACCUAUCCUAUUACUGGGUAUCUACCCAUAAAAAAAGAAGUCAUUAUAUGCAAAGACUCAUGCACACACAUCUUUACAGCAGUACAAUUCCCAAUUGUAAAAAUAUGGAACAAACCUAAAUGCCCAUCAAGCAAUGGGUGUAUUAAAAAAAUGUGGUAUACACACACACACACACCGUGGAAUACUACUCAGCCAUAAAAAGGAACAAAAUAAUGCCAUUCAUAGCAACCUGGAUGCAGCUGGAGACCAUUAUUCUAAGUGAAGUAAUUCAGGAUUAGUUCUAGCAAACUUCCAGACACAAAACAUACAACAUUUUGUGAUGAUAAAUAUCACAGUUGCCACAUAGUCCAGCAGGAACCCAAUC
Molecule: long non-coding RNA, 1641 nt
Organism: Homo sapiens (human)
Lineage: Eukaryota; Metazoa; Chordata; Mammalia; Primates; Hominidae
Exons: 3
Source: RefSeq, a predicted model, not a curated record